RNAcentral lists this long non-coding RNA (257 nucleotides) under Nicotiana benthamiana. RNAcentral's name for it is "long non-coding RNA (NBEN_LNC036990)". The record is from RNAcentral. Lineage: Eukaryota; Viridiplantae; Streptophyta; Magnoliopsida; Solanales; Solanaceae.
UCAAAUGCUUGAAAGUAUAAAGUCAAAGGUAUGUAUAAUCAGUUUUUGAUAUCUUAUUUAUCUAGCAUGACAUGGAAAACUUGAUAUGCAUCUAAAGUCUAUUAUAUGACCUAUAUGACUUAACUUGAAAGAUUUAAGUUGCUUGAAGCAUAUUGAAGUACCACAUCCUAAGUACAAUUUGUGUACAUAUGUAGCUUGCUAUAACUAUAAGCAUGAUGGCGUUGAGAAUGCAUCUAUGGAGAUAUUGAAAAGUUAUU